CUGCUGCCUUCCGUAGGAGUUUGGGCCGUGUCUCAGUCCCAAUGUGGCCGGCCACCCUCUCAGGUCGGCUACUGAUCGUCGCCUUGGUGGGCCGUUACCUCACCAACCAGCUAAUCAGACGCGGAUCCAUCCCAUACCACCGGAGUUUUUCACACCGGACCAUGCGGUCCUGUGCGCUUAUGCGGUAUUAGCAGUCAUUUCUAACUGUUAUCCCCCUGUAUGAGGCAGGUUAUCCACGCGUUACUCACCCGUCCGCCG
RNAcentral lists this ribosomal RNA (258 nucleotides) under uncultured bacterium. Its description in RNAcentral is "partial 16S ribosomal RNA". The record is from RNAcentral.